Molecule: long non-coding RNA, 3867 nt
Organism: Neofelis nebulosa (Clouded leopard)
Lineage: Eukaryota; Metazoa; Chordata; Mammalia; Carnivora; Felidae
Exons: 3
Source: RefSeq, a predicted model, not a curated record
CAGAGUUACCGAGGGCCUGCUGGCCCCGCAGCAGCCCUGCGUUCAGGAUUCACCACGCAAAGGGCUACUGGGCUCCCCCUGAGGCCCAGAUAAGGCCUUCAUCCCUCGCUGACGAGGGGCAGAAAAGAUGAAGACCUUGUUGUGGUACAUUUCAGCCUCCCUCCCCCUUUGGCUGCUUCCGGACCGCUCUUGGCCUCCUGAUUAGCCCAGAAGUCUCUCCGCUAUCUGUAAGGUCCUGGCUGGUGGUGAUGGCGUUGAUGGUGGGGAUGAAGGCGCUGCCUGAGCCAGGCAUAUCUACCCGGAACUUCUGAAAUGAGGAAAGAACAGUAUUGAGCCAACAGGUGCAUAAUGGAACAGGACAAGCGGAGCCAGGAGGCAAAGCAGAGUUCAGGAUGGGGCUGUGACCCCAUCAGGGUGAGACCAGGUCCAGGAAAAGGUGUCCUCCAACCAAUGAGACUGAAAAGUGGUAGCAUCUGUGGCCAGACCUUCCUUCUCCUCGCCCUUAACUGCCAUCUUGCUUGGGGCAGACACACUGCGUCUCUCCCUACCUACCUACAUAUCUAUCUGUGUUCAUGUUUGUGUCUGUGGGAAACUCUCGUGCUGCUAGCUCAGCGUUUUCUCCCUGUCUCUUAAUUCAUGCCCAGACCAAGUUGCAGAACUCUCUGGAACGUGCUGCAGGAAGCAUCCUAUUUAGAAUAUAAGAUGAUGACAGAGUACAAACACUAAAAUGGGUCAAGCUCCUCUUUCUUCAGAGCGACUACUAGAAAGUGAGGGGAGAAAGGAAGGGCCUCCCUGCCCCCGCAGCCCACGGCUUCCAGCUCCUCAGGGGAAAUCUCCCCUAAUGAAGCCGUCAUGUCAUCCUCGGGUGACCCCCAUCUCCACACAAAGGAGUUCUGCAGCUCCUUCCUUCCCUAAUCUGGUGGGUGACGAGAUGAAAGCAAUAAGAGCACCUGCUGAGCACUUACUAAACGACAGGCACCAUGGUAGUGUUUGACCUAAAUUAUCUCCUUCAUUCUCCCUCUGAGGUAAGAACGACCAUUAUCUCCACUUUAGAGGCAGAAAUUUAGGCUUAGAGAGAUUGAGUAACUUAUCCAAGGCCACAUGGCUCGUACGCAGGGGGGGUCAGGAUUCAAAGAGGCUCUCAAACACGGUGCUACGCAAGCUUCCGUAGUGUUGCUUUUUUCUUCCUUGAAAUCCAGACCCAAGUGCCGUAGCCACCCCUGCUGCCCUCAGGGUGUCAGCUCAUCCCUGUCGACCGCCCCUCUCACCCAGGAGGCCCCACAGGUCCGAUCCCAGAUGAAAUCGUGCUAUCGCUGGCACGGGCGCUAUAGCUUCCCUUCCUAUCUUGGCCUGGUCAGACCAACCAGGAGUACAAGUAUUAGCAGCAAUGGCAGCUGCCACCACCGUUGCCUUUGUCCCCGGUGAUGACACCUGGGUUCCUGUCAUGCAAGUAAGUGGAGCUUAGAGCACCUCACUGUAACUGGGGGAGCUGGGGACCCCUCCUUGCUCACUCCCCUGCCAGCUGCCUGACCCCAGUCUGGGUGGUGGCAUGUCUCUGCCUCCCUUCCCAGACUGCCCUGGGGCCCUGGGGCAAGGGCGUUUUGUGAAGAAAGCAUGACCCAGCACGAUGGAUUCUGGGAUUGGGCGAGGAGAGCCCCAGUGGGAUGAAUCCUGAGACUCGGUGAAGUUACCAGUGGAUUCUGGGAUACUAUGAGAAGAGCUGUCCAGUACAAUGGAUUUUGAGUCACCUUGGAAGGCAAAGACGAUUCGGCUUUUUAUCAGGAGCUGCCUGAGCUGGGUGUGCGUGUGUGUGUGCGUGUGUGUGUGCGUGCGUGUGUGUGUGUGUGUGUGUGUGAAGGAAGGAAGGAUGCAGUGAACAAGGAAGACUCCAAGUAGGAAAUGAUCUUCAAGGAGAAGAAAAUGGACAACUCAGCUGGGCCUCUGAGGAGGCAGAGGAUUGAGAACGCGUGCACGUGGCUGACCGUGCGCAGAGGCACGCAAGGCCCAGACAGCUACGCUUCUCUUGGGCUGCUGGAGGGGAGCUGGGGGGGAGAGAGGAAGGUGGUGGCAGGAAACCCUCCACCUGGAGCCAGGAGGCCCCGGCGGACACCUUCGCGAAAUCACCGGGGACUUAGUUCUCCUGUCUGUGAAGAAGAAUCUGAACACCAAACUCGCAAAUCACUGUCACGAUUAAACAAGUAGCUCCUUAGAAUCGCUGGCUAUAAAAGGCACUCCGGUGGCUCUCCACCGAGGCUGCGCGUUAGAACAUUCUGAGGAGCUUUCUAAAAACACCAAUGCCAGAGCCAGCCUCGCCAUUAGGGUUCUAAAAUAACACGUCCGGGAUGGGGUUCUGAUAAGGUGUUUUUUUUAAAUGCCUGGGGAGAUUCUAACGUGCAGCCAGGGUGGAGAACCGCCGCUCUGAACCAAUGGAAGGCGGCAUCGUCAUCACCAGCAGCACCGCCGCCGCGGUCACGCAUCACCACGGUGCCCGUGCACUCUGCUUGGGGCGGCUCCGGGAAAGACGGCCAGCUUCCCACUCCUGGGAGGUACCCGGCAUUUUUAUUCCAUGUCUCUCUUCAGGUCAGGUUCUGGGUCUGAAGGGCACCUGAGGCAUCCAGCACGAUGGUUCGAUGGGACCCUCCACCUCUGUGAGGGAACUGUCAGCUUCUCCCUCCGGACGGCAUCCAAGAAAUCCACUCCUCAUUCCAACAGCCAAACAAACAAAAAGCUCCCCUCUCAGCCAUGGGAAGCAAGCAAAAACCCUAAAGCACAGCUCAGAGACUAAGACUCCUUGGGGGCAAGUGGACGACUCUCAGCCCCUCUGGGGGCUCUCGGUCCCCUCGCUCUGGUUCUACAGAAUGUGCUCCCCGGCCAACAGCCAGAUUGCUUGCAGCAAUGGCUUGGUCUAGACAAAACAAGACAGCCAUAAAAACAAGGCACUAGGUAAUGACUGCCUCGAAAUGCAUGUACAACUUGUUUCAGAGGGAGGUAAAGCCAUCUGGAUAACACACUGGCCCUAGGAAAACAAUGUCCCAUCCCCACAGGGGACUGGGGCUGUGAUAAAGAAGGCUUUUGUCUCCUAGAGGAGCCUCUCUGAGACACUCACACAAGUUUAAAUGGGUUCUGGCCGAUGUGACUUGUCUCAGCUCCAAAGGUAUUACUCAGAAAGCUACACCGGAAUAGGAGAGAUGAGGUGAGGCUAGGGGGUCCGUGGUCCCAGAAGUCAGCCUGACAGUCUUCUCUGCCAGCAGACCCGACCAUCAGUCAAACAUCAUGUUGGGGAUAAGUCAUGGUGCUCUAUGGAAGGGUUAAUACUGAGCAGAAACCAACACGGGGUUUCCCAGCUGUGAGCACUGGAACACCACGAGCCUUGCUGCAGCACCAAGCGUGUGCUGGGAGGGGUGGGGGAUACAGCAGGGAACCCAGGACGUCACUUGAGUCCCCGGGGGGGCUCUCCAGCCCCCUUGGGAGCUCCUCCUCCAGGGAUGGGAUCAAAGAUGCUGGACGGCUGUGUGGCAUUCCGGCCUGGCAAAGCCUCCAGAUGCUUUAUUUGACUGUGUCAUCCUGUUGACUUCUGGGUGGGCAAGAAUGCCUAUAAAAGGACAAACUGGCCCCCACCGACCUCCUAGAGCAGAGUCUGACGAACAUUUGCUGUAAAAGGCCAGAUAGUAAAUAUUUUAGGCUUUGUGGGUCAUGCGGUCUCUGUCGCAACUACUCAACUCUGCCAUUAUAGCGUGGAAGCAGUCACAGACGAUAUGUAAACAAAUAGGUGCGCCCAUGUUCCAUUAAACCUUAUUUACAAAGACACGUGGGUCAUAGUUUGGCGCCCCCUGUUCUAGAGGCCCAUUCCCUCUCCAAAUGCUCAGC